GGGUUGUGAGGUUAAGCGACUAAGCGUACACGGUGGAUGCCCUGGCAGUCAGAGGCGAUGAAGGACGUGCUAAUCUGCGAUAAGCGCCGGUAAGGUGAUAUGAACCGUUAUAACCGGCGAUUUCCGAAUGGGGAAACCCAGUGUGAUUCGUCACACUAUCAUUAACUGAAUCCAUAGGUUAAUGAGGCGAACCGGGGGAACUGAAACAUCUAAGUACCCCGAGGAAAAGAAAUCAACCGAGAUUCCCCCAGUAGCGGCGAGCGAACGGGGAGGAGCCCAGAGCCUGAAUCAGCAUGUGUGUUAGUGGAAGCGUCUGGAAAGGCGCGCGAUACAGGGUGACAGCCCCGUACACAAAAGCGCAUGUGCUGUGAGCUCGAUGAGUAGGGCGGGACACGUGGUAUCCUGUCUGAAUAUGGGGGGACCAUCCUCCAAGGCUAAAUACUCCUGACUGACCGAUAGUGAACCAGUACCGUGAGGGAAAGGCGAAAAGAACCCCGGCGAGGGGAGUGAAAAAGAACCUGAAACCGUGUACGUACAAGCAGUGGGAGCACCCUUCGGGGUGUGACUGCGUACCUUUUGUAUAAUGGGUCAGCGACUUAUAUUCUGUAGCAAGGUUAACCGUAUAGGGGAGCCGGAGGGAAACCGAGUCUUAAUUGGGCGUUAAGUUGCAGGGUAUAGACCCGAAACCCGGUGAUCUAGCCAUGGGCAGGUUGAAGGUUGGGUAACACUAACUGGAGGACCGAACCGACUAAUGUUGAAAAAUUAGCGGAUGACCUGUGGCUGGGGGUGAAAGGCCAAUCAAACCGGGAGAUAGCUGGUUCUCCCCGAAAGCUAUUUAGGUAGCGCCUCGUGAAUUCAUCUCCGGGGGUAGAGCACUGUUUCGGCUAGGGGGCCAUCCCGGCUUACCAACCCGAUGCAAACUGCGAAUACCGGAGAAUGUUAUCACGGGAGACACACGGCGGGUGCUAACGUCCGUCGUGAAGAGGGAAACAACCCAGACCGCCAGCUAAGGUCCCAAAGUCAUGGUUAAGUGGGAAACGAUGUGGGAAGGCCCAGACAGCCAGGAUGUUGGCUUAGAAGCAGCCAUCAUUUAAAGAAAGCGUAAUAGCUCACUGGUCGAGUCGGCCUGCGCGGAAGAUGUAACGGGGCUAAACCAUGCACCGAAGCUGCGGCAGCGAACGUAUCACCCAAGACAACUUUACGGAGUUGACGAUUGACGGAGCGAAGCGACGUCAAAGCGUUCAUUAAAGUCGAGUUGGCUUAGGGAUACGUUCGUUGGGUAGGGGAGCGUUCUGUAAGCCUGUGAAGGUGUGUCGUGAGGCAUGCUGGAGGUAUCAGAAGUGCGAAUGCUGACAUAAGUAACGAUAAAGCGGGUGAAAAGCCCGCUCGCCGGAAGACCAAGGGUUCCUGUCCAACGUUAAUCGGGGCAGGGUGAGUCGACCCCUAAGGCGAGGCCGAAAGGCGUAGUCGAUGGGAAACGGGUUAAUAUUCCCGUACUUGGUGUUACUGCGAAGGGGGGACGGAGAAGGCUAUGUUGGCCGGGCGACGGUUGUCCCGGUUUAAGCGUGUAGGUGUGUGUUCCAGGUAAAUCCGGUUCACUUUAACACUG
Molecule: ribosomal RNA, 1609 nt
Filed under: Salmonella enterica subsp. enterica serovar Typhimurium
Lineage: Bacteria; Pseudomonadati; Pseudomonadota; Gammaproteobacteria; Enterobacterales; Enterobacteriaceae
Description: partial 23S ribosomal RNA
Rfam family: Bacterial large subunit ribosomal RNA
Source: RNAcentral